This 819-nucleotide ribosomal RNA is filed under the name uncultured archaeon. RNAcentral describes it as "bacterial SSU rRNA". It matches the Rfam family "Archaeal small subunit ribosomal RNA", at positions 21 to 847 of the family's 1478-position model. The record is from RNAcentral.
CCUGACUGCUAUCGGAUUGAUACUAAGCCAUGCGAGUCAUUGUAGCAAUACAAGGCAGACGGCUCAGUAACGCGUAGUCAAUCUACCCUAUGGACGGGAAUAACCUCGGGAAACUGAGAAUAAUGCCCGAUAGAACAUUAUGCCUGGAAUGGUUUAUGUUUCAAAUGAUUUAUCGCCAUAGGAUGGGACUGCGGCCUAUCAGUUUGUUGGUGAGGUAAUGGCCCACCAAGACUAUUACAGGUACGGGCUCUGAGAGGAGUGGCCCGGAGAUGGGUACUGAGACACGGACCCAGGCCCUAUGGGGCGCAGCAGGCGAGAAAACUUUGCAAUGUGCGAAAGCACGACAAGGUUAAUCCGAGUGGUUUCUGCUAAAGAAACCUUUUGUCAGUCCUAGAAACACUAACGAAUAAGGGGUGGGCAAGUUCUGGUGUCAGCCGCCGCGGUAAAACCAGCACCUCAAGUGGUCAGGAUGAUUAUUGGGCCUAAAGCAUCCGUAGCCCGUUUUGUAAGUUUUCGGUUAAAUCCAUGCGCUUAACGUAUGGGCUGCCGGGAAUACUGCAUAACUAGGAAGUGGGAGAGGUAGACGGUACUCGGUAGGAAGGGGUAAAAUCCUUUGAUCUAUUGAUGACCACCUGUGGCGAAGGCGGUCUACCAGAACACGUUCGACGGUGAGGGAUGAAAGCUGGGGGAGCAAACCGGAUUAGAUACCCGGGUAGUCCCAGCUGUAAACUAUGCAAACUCAGUGAUGCAUUGGCUUGUGGCCAAUGCAGUGCUGCAGGGAAGCCGUUAAGUUUGCCGCCUGGGAAGUACGUACGCAAG